CGCGGCUGAUGGUCUACUGGCGGGCGGCAUCGCUGCCGGCCGUGCUCGGCUCAGGCGUGUAUGCCGGGUCUCGUUGGAGGCCGGACGCUUGUGG
This 94-nucleotide transfer RNA is filed under the name Chromobacterium violaceum. RNAcentral's name for it is "tRNA-Gly(gcc)". Lineage: Bacteria; Pseudomonadati; Pseudomonadota; Betaproteobacteria; Neisseriales; Chromobacteriaceae. The record is from RNAcentral.